UUUCUAGAUUUAUAAUAGAAUUUUAUUUUUUAGUCAAAAAGCUAAAAUAUAUUUAAAAGACGAGAAGACCCUAUAAAUCUUUAUAUUUAGAUUAUUAUAAUUUUAUAGAUUUUUUUUGUUAUAAUAAUCAAUGAUAUUUUAUUGGGGUGAUAUUAAAAUUUAAUAAACUUUUAAUUGUUAAAAUCAUUAAUUUAUGAAUAAUUGAUCCGUUAUUAGCGAUUAAAAAAAUAAGUUACCUUAGGGAUAACAG
RNAcentral lists this ribosomal RNA (250 nucleotides) under Aldrichina grahami. Its description in RNAcentral is "partial 16S ribosomal RNA". The record is from RNAcentral. Lineage: Eukaryota; Metazoa; Arthropoda; Insecta; Diptera; Calliphoridae.